This 253-nucleotide ribosomal RNA is filed under the name uncultured bacterium. RNAcentral's name for it is "partial 16S ribosomal RNA". It matches the Rfam family "Bacterial small subunit ribosomal RNA", at positions 524 to 776 of the family's 1533-position model. The record is from RNAcentral.
UACAGAGGGGGCAAGCGUUGUUCGGAAUUACUGGGCGUAAAGGGCGCGUAGGUGGCCCUCUAAGUCGGACGUGAAAUCCCCGGGCUCAACCCGGGAACUGCGUCCGAUACUGGAGGGCUUGAAUUCGGGAGAGGGAUGCGGAAUUCCAGGUGUAGCGGUGAAAUGCGUAGAUAUCUGGAGGAACACCGGUGGCGAAGGCGGCAUCCUGGACCGACAUUGACGCUGAGGCGCGAAAGCCAGGGGAGCAAACGGG